GGUUGUCGUGGUAAAAGUGUAGUUGCCAAUCAGGGAUUUUUUUUAUAAGUUCAAAGAUGAAAAAACCUGGAAGGAGGAGAGAUGACUAGAAACGAUUUGGUUGGCUGUUUUAUGUGUGGAUUAAUUGUCGGAGUAGAAGACCUUGUGCAUUUCAGGGGAAACCCCUAACCAUCGUUCUCUUAGUGGGAGGGGCUUAUCAUCUGGGGAGCCUCAACAUCCUGUUGCUGACGAGACAGAGAAGAGUCUCUCCAGAUUAGAACACCCCAAGAAACACCAGCAGAG
Molecule: long non-coding RNA, 282 nt
Organism: Oncorhynchus tshawytscha (Chinook salmon)
Lineage: Eukaryota; Metazoa; Chordata; Actinopteri; Salmoniformes; Salmonidae
Source: Ensembl